CUAACUGGAGGACCGAACCGACUAAUGUUGAAAAAUUAGCGGAUGACCUGUGGCUGGGGGUGAAAGGCCAAUCAAACCGGGAGAUAGCUGGUUCUCCCCGAAAGCUAUUUAGGUAGCGCCUCGUGAAUUCAUCUCCGGGGGUAGAGCACUGUUUCGGCUAGGGGGCCAUCCCGGCUUACCAACCCGAUGCAAACUGCGAAUACCGGAGAAUGUUAUCACGGGAGACACACGGCGGGUGCUAACGUCCGUCGUGAAGAGGGAAACAACCCAGACCGCCAGCUAAGGUCCCAAAGUCAUGGUUAAGUGGGAAACGAUGUGGGAAGGCCCAGACAGCCAGGAUGUUGGCUUAGAAGCAGCCAUCAUUUAAAGAAAGCGUAAUAGCUCACUGGUCGAGUCGGCCUGCGCGGAAGAUGUAACGGGGCUAAACCAU
RNAcentral lists this ribosomal RNA (430 nucleotides) under Salmonella enterica. RNAcentral describes it as "partial 23S ribosomal RNA". It matches the Rfam family "Bacterial large subunit ribosomal RNA", at positions 762 to 1190 of the family's 2925-position model. RNAcentral also lists the same sequence under 4 other names. Lineage: Bacteria; Pseudomonadati; Pseudomonadota; Gammaproteobacteria; Enterobacterales; Enterobacteriaceae. The record is from RNAcentral.